This 253-nucleotide ribosomal RNA is filed under the name uncultured bacterium. RNAcentral describes it as "partial 16S ribosomal RNA". It matches the Rfam family "Bacterial small subunit ribosomal RNA", at positions 524 to 776 of the family's 1533-position model. The record is from RNAcentral.
UACGUAGGGUGCGAGCGUUGUCCGGAAUUAUUGGGCGUAAAGGGCUCGUAGGCGGUCUGUUGCGUCAGGAGUGAAAACUCGGGGCUUAACCCCGAGCCUGCUUCUGAUACGGGCAGACUAGAGGUAUGCAGGGGAGAACGGAAUUCCUGGUGUAGCGGUGAAAUGCGCAGAUAUCAGGAGGAACACCGGUGGCGAAGGCGGUUCUCUGGGCAGUAACUGACGCUGAGGAGCGAAAGCGUGGGGAGCGAACAUG